Molecule: ribosomal RNA, 1333 nt
Filed under: Pyropelta sp. SWA-2010
Lineage: Eukaryota; Metazoa; Mollusca; Gastropoda; Lepetellida; Pyropeltidae
Description: eukaryotic LSU rRNA
Rfam family: Eukaryotic large subunit ribosomal RNA
Source: RNAcentral
CUAACCAGGAUUCCCUCAGUAACGGCGAGUGAAGCGGGAAAAGCCCAGCGCCGAAUCCCCCGCUCUCUUACGGGCGGCGGGAACUGUGGCGUUAGAAGGGCGGCGACCGGCGGCGAGUGCCCGUGCCCAAGUCAUUAUCGACCGAGGCCUUUCCCACAGUGGGUGACAGGCCUUUAGCGGCACGAGACUCUCCGUCCACGACCGACCUCGGAGUCGGGUUGCUUGGGAAUGCAGCCCUAAGACGGGUGGUAUACUCCAUCUAAGGCUAAAUACUGGCACGAGUCCGAUAGCAAACAAGUACCGCGAGGGAAAGUUGAAAAGAACUUUGAAGAGAGAGUUCAAGAGUACGUGAAACCGUCUAGAGGUAAUCGGGUGGACCCGUGAAGUCGGCCCGCGGAAAUCAUGUCUACUAGAAUGCGCGCCGGUUGGCCGGAGAUCCGUGCCCUCUCGACCAGGGGGUGGGCGAUUCUGUCGUCGGGACGUCGGCUGUACUGGAGUGAGCGUUUCUUGGUGGGUGUGCUUUUCCGCGCGGUAGAGCGUUGCGACCGGUUCGCCUGGCGGUGGUAAUGCCCCUGGGGAAGGUAUGUCCGUUGAUCUGGCUGGGUGUAGCUUCGGCUGCGCCCUUCUCGGAGCUCUGCGACUGUUACAGACCCGUGGGGAGAUGGCCGCUGGCGGACCGAGGAACGACCGCCCGUGCUUGCGUCUUCGUUGUGUUCGUCUCGUAUCGGGGAGCAAUCCUCCUGCGGGGCGGGGCGGCGGGCGGCGUACGGGACUAGCUAGGGUCAGCAACGAUCGGUCGGUAUUCCACCCGGCCCGUCUUGAAACACGGACCAAGGAGUCCGCCGUGCGCGCGAGUCAUUGGGCCUCACUAAGCCCACAGGCGUAACGAAAGUGAAACCGCGGUGGGAUCCCUGCCUGACGGCGGGGCGCACCACCGGCCUGUCCUCUUUUGGGGGCUGAGCUUGAGCGCGCACGUCGGUACCCGAAAGAUGGUGAUCUAUGCCUGAGUAGGACGAAGGCAGGGGAAACUCUGGUGGAAGUCCGCAGCGAUUCUGACGUGCAAAUCGAUCGUCGAACUUGGGUAUAGGGGCGAAAGACUAAUCGAACCAUCUAGUAGCUGGUUCCCUCCGAAGUUUCCCGUAGGAUAGCUGGCGCUCGUGUAAUCAAUUUUAUCCGGUAAAGCGAAGGAUUAGAGUUCCCGGGGACGCAACGUGCCUCGCGCUAUUCUCAAACUUUAAAUGGGUAAGGUGCCGUGUCUCUCGCUUGACUUGGAGCACGGACGAGAAUGGGAGCGCUUAGUGGGCCACUUUUGGUAAGCAGAAUGGCGCUGUGG